AACAAACGCUGGCGGCGUGCCUAAUACAUGCAAGUCGAACGGGGAAAGCUUUCGGGUGAGUACUAGUGGCGCACGGGUGAGGAACGCGUGGAUAAUCUGCCUUAGAGUGGGGGAUAACUAGUCGAAAGAUUAGCUAAUACCGCAUAAGACCACGAGAGCUGCGGCUUUUGGGGUCAAAGGUUUUUCGCUCUAAGAUGAGUCCGCGUAAGAUUAGCUAGUUGGUGAGGUAACGGCUCACCAAGGCGACGAUCUUUAACUGGUCUGAGAGGAUGAUCAGUCACACUGGAACUGAGACACGGUCCAGACUCCUACGGGAGGCAGCAGUAGGGAAUAUUGCACAAUGGAGGAAACUCUGAUGCAGCGACGCCGCGUGAGAGAUGAAGGCCUUCGGGUCGUAAAGCUCUGUCGCAGGGGAAUAACACAAUGAAGGUACCCUGUAAGAAAGGAUCGGCUAACUUCGUG
This 462-nucleotide ribosomal RNA is filed under the name uncultured bacterium. Its description in RNAcentral is "partial 16S ribosomal RNA". It matches the Rfam family "Bacterial small subunit ribosomal RNA", at positions 29 to 507 of the family's 1533-position model. The record is from RNAcentral.